GCGGCAGUCCAUAAAGACCUGGCAGGAGGGAAGAGCAGGUUGCCAUGGAAUGAAGGAACUACGAUGGGGAUCGAGACCAAGAGCAGUGAUUAUGAAUGGCAAGUGGCAAGAAACGGGGUGGAGAAAAACAUCACCAGUGAAGACGGAAAUGUGUCUGAGAGGAUGAGGCCCAGAUCCCCUAGGUCCUGGCCUGGCUGACCAGCCCAGUAGCAUCUCUCUCAAUUGGAUGGUGAUCCCCAAAAAGAUAUGUCCACACCUAACAACCGGACCCUCUGAAUGUGACCUCAUUUGGAAAAAGGGUCUUUGCAGAUGCCAUUAAGUUAAAGAUCUUGUGAUGAGGAGAUCAUCCUAGAUUACCCAGGCCUAUCAGCAUCUCCUUGGACACUCCACAUCCCAUGAACCACAUCCAAAAGCGAUGGUCCUUGGUGUGCCACUUCCUGUUGAAGCUGCCUGUCUACCAGAAUUAGCAGACUCUGUGAAGGAGCUGAACAAACAGAAAAUCACUCUGCAAGACUCAUAGGAAUGACUCCUUAGGAGUCAUUCUCUCUGAUAGACGGCAACAAAAACAAAGGUGAUAUUGCCUCAUCAUCUUUCUUAAAGGUGAAGGAUCGCGGUGUCACCUUUAGGAUCCC
RNAcentral lists this long non-coding RNA (632 nucleotides) under Homo sapiens (human). Its description in RNAcentral is "long non-coding RNA NONHSAT153266.1". The record is from RNAcentral. Lineage: Eukaryota; Metazoa; Chordata; Mammalia; Primates; Hominidae.